Long non-coding RNA from Electrophorus electricus (electric eel), 293 nucleotides. Lineage: Eukaryota; Metazoa; Chordata; Actinopteri; Gymnotiformes; Gymnotidae. The record is from Ensembl.
CUCUCAGUCUGGCUCAGAUAGCCCCAAGAAAAAGCAGCAAAGUGAGUCAAAAUCCCCUACCAAGUCACAUAAAGCCAUUUCCAGUGUUUGUGAGGAGAGCAAUGAAGACCUGCUAUAUAUACCAUCUUUCUUAAGAGGAUCAAAGCACAAUAGUGUAUUCAGGACUGUUGGCUGGCCUGGAGGCCAUAAGGCAGUGGUUUUAAGGACCAGUCACGAGAAGGAAGAUGACAGCAAAGCAGAGAAACCAGAAAAGCAGGUAAACUUCAAGUAAACCUCUAGGCCUUUUCCAUGAU